Molecule: long non-coding RNA, 335 nt
Filed under: Cottoperca gobio
Lineage: Eukaryota; Metazoa; Chordata; Actinopteri; Perciformes; Bovichtidae
Description: lncRNA (ENSCGOG00000020135.1)
Source: RNAcentral
AUGUGGGCAGGAAACUGCACACAAGCAUUUUGGUGCUUUCUGGACAUGUACUGCACAUUAACUGACAACUUUUGCUGCAAUCUUGCUAACUAUCUUAACUAUUGUCUCACAGGACUUGGUCCGUCUUGCUGCCUUCACUUGUUGAAUACAGGACGCCAUCAACAUCCAGCUGCCACCUUGGACUGCAACACGACUGCAUUUAAUUUGUUAAGAUGUCACUUUGGAUUUUCAAUUAAAGUUCAGUAAAUCUUUUAUGUGUAAUACUUGAGUACUAGUAUUGUAUGAAGUUAAUGUGUUAGCUCCUUAACUUUUAAUAACUCUAGGAAAGGGAACAG